AUUAAGGGCGCAUGGUGGAUGCCUUGACUGAAUGGAGCGAUGAAAGACGUGGUCUGGCUGCGAUAAGUUUCGGGGAGGUGCCAAACAACCUUCGAUCCGAAAAUUUCUGAAUGGGGGAACCCCAUCGAGCAACACUCGAUGACCUUGCACUUGAUGCGAGGAGCACACCCGGGGAAUUGAAACAUCUUAGUACCCGGAGGAAUAGAAACCAAUAGGUAUUUCCUGAGUAGCGGCGAGCGAAACGGAAGAAGCCCAAACCUCUGCGCUUGCGUAGAGGGGUUGUAAGGCGUUAGUGCUGCAUUUAUGUAGGAAGAGUUACAAAAUAUGUUAUUAAAAGAACAACCUGGGAAGGUUGACCCGAGAGGGUAAUAGUCCCGUAUUUGAAAAUGACAUAACUCUUUAGCUAACGUUCUUGAGUAGCUCGGGACACGAAUAGCCCGAGUGAAUCUGCCAGAACUAACUGGUAAGGCUAAAUAUACAUUCAGAUCGAUAGUGAACUAGUACCGUGAGGGAAAGGUGAAAAGAACCCCGGUUAGGGGAGUGAAAUAGAACUGAAACCAUGUGUCUACAAGGAGUCGAAGAGGUCUUGCACCUCGACGGCGUGCCUAUUGAAGAAUGAGCCAACGAGUUAAUGCAUAUGGCUGGCUAAGCCCUUUUCGGGUGGAGCCACAGCGAAAGCGAGUGUGAAUAGCGCGAAAUAAUAGUCGUAUGGAUUAGACCCGAAAUCAGGUGAGCUUACCAUGAGCAGGGUGAAGGAGUUCGAAAGAUCUCUGGAGGCCCGAACCGUUGCGUCGUACAACGCGCUCGGAUGACUUGUGGUAAGGAGUGAAAAGCUAAUCGAACUUGGUAAUAGCUGGUUCUCUCCGAAACAGCUUUAGGGUUGGCGUCACGUGUUCCUACUGGGGGUAGAGCACUGGAAGGUGUGAACAGGGCGAAAGCUCGUCACUCCUAUCAAACUCCGAAUACCAGUAGUUAAAAGCGUGGCAGUUAGAGUCAGGGGGCGAAGCUCCUGUGCUCAAAAGGGAAACAGCCCAGAUCGCAAGUUAAGGUCCCUAAAUUGAUACUAAGUACAAACGAGGAGGUGAGGUUUCUUUGACAGUGAGGAGGUUGGCUUAGAGGCAGCCACCCUUUAAAGAUAGCGUAACAGCUCACUCACUCAGAGACCUUGCGCCGAAGAUGAUCGGGGUUAAGUAUCGUACCGAAACUGCGGGCUUGUGAAUUUCAUUCAGGAUAUGUUUACACGUCCUGAAUGAAGUUCGCAAGCGGUAGGAGAGCGUUCCAUUCGCGAUGAAGCCAAAGGGGUGACCCAUGGUGGAGUAUAUGGAAGUGAGAAUGUUGGCACGAGUAACCGCAUUGUGGGUGAGAUUCCCACACGCCGAAAUACCGAGGUUUCCUGGGCUAUGAAGAUCAGCUCAGGGUUAGUCGGGCCUAAGCCGAUCCCGAACGGGGGAGGCGAUGGACAUACGGUUAAUAUUCCGUAACCCGCGCACUGUGCGACUGGAGUGACGGGGGAAACAAGUAUAAGCAUCUUAUUGGAUUGGUGUUUUUUGGUCACAAGCGGGGAUACAUAGGCAAAUCCGUGUAUCACAUACCUGCGAGACCCGAAGAAAUUCACUGUUUCGGCAGUGGAGAUUUAUGCGAAGAGCCCUCCGAGAAAAGCUUCUAAGCUUCAAUGGUGUGUGGACCGUACCGCAAACCAACACAGGUGGUAGAGUCGAGAAGACUAAGGCGAACGGGUGAAAGUUCCUCAAGGAACUCGGCAAAAAAGCGACCGUAACUUAGGGAUAAGGUCUGCCUGCUAUCUUCGGGUAGUAGGCCGCAGCGAAAGAGUCCUGGCGACUGUUUAUCAAAAACACAGCUCCGUGCGAACUCGUAAGAGGAUGUAUACGGGGUGACGCCUGACCAAUGCCGGAAGGUUAAACAUGGAUGGUGUAUGAAGUUUACUUUGUAUGCUGGGCUAUGUAAGCCCCGGUGAAUGUCGGCCGUAACUAUAACGGUCCUAAGGUAGCGUAAUUCCUUGUCUAGUAAUUUUAGACGUGCACGAAUGGCGUAACGACUGGGACACUGUCUCGAGGAACUGCCCGGUGAAAAUGCAAUAGCGGUAAAGAUGCCGCUUACCUGCAGCAGGACGGAAAGACCCCAGGAGCUUUACUACAGCUUGAUAUUGGGGGCGUGUGACUAAUGCGUAGAAUAGAUGGGAGACUUUGAAGUAGUCCUUUUGGGGAUUAUGGAGUCGUCAGUGAAAUACCAUCCUUUAUUUAUGCGUCUUCUAACCAGUAUGGAAAAACCAUAUCGAGACAGUAUCUGGCAGGUAGUUUUAGUGGGGCGCUAUCCUCCUAAAAAGUAACGGAGGAGUUUAAAGGUUCUCUAGGCGCGGAUGGAAACCGUGCCGAUAGUGUAAUGGCAUAAGAGAGCUUGACUGUGAGACGUACGUGUCAAACAGGCGCGAAAGCGGAACAUAGUGAACCGAUAGCUUGCUUUAGACGCAGCUAGAGAUUAACGGAUAAAAGUUACCCUGGGGAUAACAGGCUGGUACCGCCUAAGAGUCCAUAUCGCCGGCGGUGUUCGGCACCUCGAUGUCGGCUCACCUUAUCCUGGGGCUGAAGAAGGUCCCAAGGGUUUGGCUGUUCGCCAAUUAAAAAGGUACGCGAGCUGGGUUCAGACCGUUGAGA
RNAcentral lists this ribosomal RNA (2672 nucleotides) under marine eukaryotic metagenome. Its description in RNAcentral is "Bacterial large subunit ribosomal RNA". It matches the Rfam family "Bacterial large subunit ribosomal RNA", at positions 10 to 2624 of the family's 2925-position model. The record is from RNAcentral.